CCUACGGGGGGCUGCAGUAGGGAAUAUUGGGCAAUGGGCGAGAGCCUGACCCAGCCAUGCCGCGUGCCGGACGAAGGCCCUCUGGGUUGUAAACGGCUUUUACCCUUGAAGAACGGUGGGGAUGCGUCCUCAUGUGACGGUAGAGGGGGAAUCAGCACCGGCUAACUCCGUGCCAGCAGCCGCGGUAAUACGGAGGGUGCAAGCGUUGUCCGGAUUUAUUGGGUUUAAAGGGUGCGUAGGUGGGCGCUUAAGUCUGGUCUGAAAGCUGGGGGCUU
RNAcentral lists this ribosomal RNA (275 nucleotides) under uncultured bacterium. RNAcentral describes it as "partial 16S ribosomal RNA". It matches the Rfam family "Bacterial small subunit ribosomal RNA", at positions 338 to 610 of the family's 1533-position model. The record is from RNAcentral.